GUCGGAAAUUACGAACUGCAGUUUAAAAUUCACAGAUUUUGGCGGUGUCUUAUAAAACCAGGGGAAGGCUGUCUCAUCAUAUUCGAUAGUCCACGACUAUCUAACCUCUCUCUGAUCCACACCCUGUGUACUGCCGUUGUAAGCAAACCCCUAAAAGUACAAAGUAUGCCCCAAUGAUUAAUUAGCUAUAGUUAACUCAUUUACAUCAGGUCAAAGUGCAGCUAAUAAAGAGGAGAUGAUGGGUUACAAUCUAAAAAAAGAAAUGAAUUCACAAGAUUAUUNAAUUUUUAUAAAAGUGGCACCUUGACUGUUAUUAAAAAAUAUUAUUNAAUUAAAUGAAUACCAUAUCUAAGACAUGCACACAUCGCCCGUCACUCCACCCUAAGGU
This 388-nucleotide ribosomal RNA is filed under the name Terrisswalkerius windsori. Its description in RNAcentral is "partial 12S ribosomal RNA". The record is from RNAcentral. Lineage: Eukaryota; Metazoa; Annelida; Clitellata; Crassiclitellata; Megascolecidae.